CUCCAGUCUCCAUGGCUGGGUUUCAGAAGCAUUUCUGGGCUUACUCUUUCCCAAUGUAAACGUGCACCAGAUGUGAAGUUGGCUUUCAUCAUUUAGGACUUGAUGAAUUAUUUUACACUCUGGACCACUGGGAGAUGGAACAUGAAAAUGGUUCUCUACACCCAUGUCAUAUAAAAGAGCAUGGCUUGUUCUCCUUGUCACACGUCAAAGUGCUAGAGGCAGAGAUGAGACUUCACCAUGAUGUUCCUCACCCAACAAUUCUGUAAUGGUCGAGCUGGGGUCACCAAAACCCUUGGGGUCAGAGUCUUCUUUGGAUUGAAGAGCUCUUUGGUGCCAUUAUGAGCAACUGAGGAAAGAAAGAGGACUACAGUCAGCAGAUAUCCUGGGAAGAAGGGAGGACAGUGACAAGAACCAGCAUCUUAUAGCCUGGCUGCCAGGAAGCCAGCCCUAGAGAAUGACGUUCAGGACAAAACACAACCCAUGUUCCACUUGGCACCAAGUCCUCACUGUUUUCCUCUCUGCCCCCAUCUUCCACCUUUGGGUCAUGAAGCAAGUGGUUUUGUUCGGACGCGCACACCCACUAUGAUGUACUGCCUCCUCAUAGAUCCAAAGCAAUGGGUCCCCUGCUCACAGACCGCAGUCGUGAGCCAAGAGAAACCUCUGCUCAUUCUCAGUUGGUCACUCAAGUAUCUGGUGUCAUGAUGGCAGCUGACUCACCUAGAGACCCCCUCUUGAAAGAGCCCACGCAGAGGCGGGGAUAUACACCUGAAAUCAUGUCUAGUCAACUUGCAAUACCCAACAGAAUAUCUCUGGCCAGUCGAAUACACAGAUGUGGAGCCAGUGGACACUGGGGGCCAACUGUACAUCCACGUGGAUUCUGCCCCUCAACGAAGCAUUUGCACG
Heterocephalus glaber (naked mole-rat) is the source of this 903-nucleotide long non-coding RNA. The record is from Ensembl. NCBI's taxonomy places the organism in Eukaryota, Metazoa, Chordata, Mammalia, Rodentia, Bathyergidae.